RNAcentral lists this ribosomal RNA (488 nucleotides) under uncultured bacterium. RNAcentral's name for it is "partial 16S ribosomal RNA". It matches the Rfam family "Bacterial small subunit ribosomal RNA", at positions 28 to 507 of the family's 1533-position model. The record is from RNAcentral.
GACGAACGCUGGCGGCGUGCUUAACACAUGCAAGUCGAACGAAAAUACCAAGCUUGCUUGGUUGAUUAGUGGCGAACGGGUGAGUAACACGUGAGUAACCUGCCCCUUACUUUCCUGGAUAACUGCUCGAAAGGGUAGCUAAUACGGGAUAUUCUGACCAGCCUGCAUGGGUUGGUUUGGAAAGGUUGUUUUUCUGGUAAGGGAUGGGCUCGCGGCCUAUCAGCUUGUUGGUGGGGUGAUGGCCUACCAAGGCUUUGACGGGUAGCCGGCCUGAGAGGGUGGGCGGUCACACUGGGACUGAGAUACGGCCCAGACUCCUACGGGAGGCAGCAGUGGGGAAUAUUGCACAAUGGGCGCAAGCCUGAUGCAGCGACGCCGCGUGAGGGAUGAAGGCCUUCGGGUUGUAAACCUCUUUCGUCAGGGAACAAGGCACUGCUUUUUUGGUGGUGUUGAGGGUACCUGGAUAAGAAGCGCCGGCUAACUACGUG